Molecule: ribosomal RNA, 1459 nt
Filed under: uncultured bacterium
Lineage: Bacteria
Description: bacterial SSU rRNA
Rfam family: Bacterial small subunit ribosomal RNA
Source: RNAcentral
AUUGAACGCUGGCGGCAGGCCUAACACAUGCAAGUCGAACGGUAACAUGAACUAGCUUGCUAGUUUGAUGACGAGUGGCGGACGGGUGAGUAAUGCUUGGGAAUUUGCCUUGAGGUGGGGGACAACAGUUGGAAACGACUGCUAAUACCGCAUAUUGUCUACGGACUAAAGGGGGCUUCGGCUCUCGCCUUUAGAGAAGCCCAAGUGGGAUUAGGUAGUUGGUGAGGUAAAGGCUCACCAAGCCGACGAUCCCUAGCUGGUCUGAGAGGAUGAUCAGCCACACUGGAACUGAGACACGGUCCAGACUCCUACGGGAGGCAGCAGUGGGGAAUAUUGCACAAUGGGGGAAACCCUGAUGCAGCCAUGCCGCGUGUGUGAAGAAGGCCUUCGGGUUGUAAAGCACUUUCAGUCGUGAGGAAGGGUUAGUAGUUAAUACCUGCUAGCUUUGACGUUAGCGACAGAAGAAGCACCGGCUAACUCCGUGCCAGCAGCCGCGGUAAUACGGAGGGUGCGAGCGUUAAUCGGAAUUACUGGGCGUAAAGCGUACGCAGGCGGUUAGUUAAGUCAGAUGUGAAAGCCCCGGGCUCAACCUGGGAACUGCAUUUGAAACUGGCUAACUAGAGUGCGGCAGAGGGUGGUAGAAUUUCAGGUGUAGCGGUGAAAUGCGUAGAGAUCUGAAGGNANUACCGAUGGCGAAGGCAGCCACCUGGGCCGACACUGACGCUCAUGUACGAAAGCGUGGGUAGCAAACAGGAUUAGGUACCCUGGUAGUCCACGCCGUAAACGAUGUCUACUAGCAGCUCGCCUCGUUUAGAGGGGUUUUGCGCAGCUAACGCGUUAAGUAGACCGCCUGGGGAGUACGGCCGCAAGGUUAAAACUCAAAUGAAUUGACGGGGGCCCGCACAAGCGGUGGAGCAUGUGGUUUAAUUCGAUGCAACGCGAAGGACCUUACCAUCCCUUGACAUCCAGAGAACUUACUAGAGAUAGUUUGGUGCCUUCGGGAACUCUGAGACAGGUGCUGCAUGGCUGUCGUCAGCUCGUGUUGUGAAAUGUUGGGUUAAGUCCCGCAACGAGCGCAACCCUUAUCCUUAGUUGCUAGCAGUUAGGCUGAGAACUCUAAGGAGACUGCCGGUGACAAACCGGAGGAAGGUGGGGACGACGUCAAGUCAUCAUGGCCCUUACGGGGUGGGCUACACGCGUGCUACAAUGGCAAGUACAAAGGGUUGCGAACUCGCGAGAGUAAGCGGAUCCCAUAAAGCUUGUCGUAGUCCGGAUUGGAGUCUGCAACUCGACUCCAUGAAGUCGGAAUCGCUAGUAAUCGUAGAUCAGAAUGCUACGGUGAAUACGUUCCCGGGCCUUGUACACACCGCCCGUCACACCAUGGGAGUGGGCUGCAAAAGAAGUGGGUAGUUUAACCUUCGGGAGGACGCUCACCACUUUGUGGUUCAUGACUGGGGUG